GAUGAACGCUGGCGGCGUGCCUAAUACAUGCAAGUCGAGCGAACAGACGAGGAGCUUGCUCCUCUGACGUUAGCGGCGGACGGGUGAGUAACACGUGGAUAACCUACCUAUAAGACUGGGAUAACUUCGGGAAACCGGAGCUAAUACCGGAUAAUAUAUUGAACCGCAUGGUUCAAUAGUGAAAGACGGUUUUGCUGUCACUUAUAGAUGGAUCCGCGCCGCAUUAGCUAGUUGGUAAGGUAACGGCUUACCAAGGCAACGAUGCGUAGCCGACCUGAGAGGGUGAUCGGCCACACUGGAACUGAGACACGGUCCAGAAUCCUACGGGAGGCAGCAGUAGGGAAUCUUCCGCAAUGGGCGAAAGCUUGACGGAGCAACGCCGCGUGAGUGAUGAAGGUCUUCGGAUCGUAAAACGCUGUUAUUAGGGAAGAACAAAUGUGUAAGUAACUAUGCAAGUCUUGACGGUACCUAAUCAGAAAGCCACGGCUAACUACGU
Molecule: ribosomal RNA, 496 nt
Filed under: uncultured bacterium
Lineage: Bacteria
Description: partial 16S ribosomal RNA
Rfam family: Bacterial small subunit ribosomal RNA
Source: RNAcentral